AUAUUAAAAUUAAAAACCCCUCAAUUCAAAUUCUUAAUCUUCUCUUUUCUCAAUGGAGAACAGUUGCACCCGGCAGCGGGGGGGUAAACGCAAUGACAAGUGGGCACUGCCCGCCAAUAGACCUCAGCACUCCAACCCACUUCGCUGGUAUGAUACGACAAGUCCCCUCCAGUCCUCUAGGGGGCGAUACCGGGGGGGAAAAAAACAACAUUAAAGAAGCAUGCAAUCACUCACCUGUUGCUGCUUUGGCUUUGGCAGCCAGGUUGGCUCAGGUGCCACUGAUUUUAACCCGACUUGCAGGAAUGAAAACUGACAUUUUGGCUCCCUUCCCCGAAACCAUGUAAAUCUAACAGAGACAUGGUUUGAGAUGUAAUCGGAAAAAACUGACUAAUUCCUGGACUGAAGUGGCCAUAUUUGUGGUCCCAAAGUGAUUAGCUUGUUGUCGGAAGCCAGUUGGCAGCUUGGUCAUUUUUUCUUUUGGGCCUCUUCCAGAACAAACGGUGUUGCAGGAAAUGGAUUUUAUCUUGGCGGUGCAAACAGCACGGCUUUUUCUGGCUUCUGCAGCAGACGGAAUACAGUGGCUUUGGUUUGGGAUUUUGAAAUUGGGCCUGCUUGUAUAAACUGUGAGCAGUGGAAAUGACACCAUGGGAAUAGCACGAGGCCGCCUGAACCGAAGGAACAAACGACGGUGAGCUUCUGGGCCACCUGAAGCGCAACCGCAUUUCAGUCCCGACAGAAUAUACGCUUCCUGCGCGGACGAAAGGAACGCUGGGAGGGGAAUGUUACUAUAGGACGGCUGAGCGGCAGAAACAGGUGCCUGGUGGACGAGCAGCCUCACCCUGGGCAUGACGACCUUCACGGAAACAUGUCAACAGCGCAUCAAUAACAGAGAACAGCUUGCUGGACCCGCGACGGGAAAUCGCCAAACCACAAGGUCUCUGCCACGUCCAACUGCGACCACCCACUGCGAGAAAACUCAACAAAUGGAUGCACGGAUAUUAGUCGCCGACUUAGACGUUUUCAUAGAGAUAACGACGGGGCUAUAAUAACUCACAGCAACUGUGAAAAUAAACCGAGCCUCCAGUGGGACGCGACGCAUUACCGGUGUCCACCACAGGAGGGCAGACCGGUUCUACCUGACGCAAAAAAAAGAGAACACACAGAAGAAGAAAUGUCAUGACUGACGGAUUAAUGGAAGUAUCGGAGAGGAACUCAGACAGACCGGAGGGGGGAAACAUCUGCUUGCGCCCCCCCCCCCCCCCCCCCCCUCGCCCCCUCCCCAUACGCUGCCGACGGAACGGAGAACGCCGUAUGGUUAACAGGCCCCCAGAGCGGCCGGGCGGUUCUGUUCACCACGGGGCGCAGUGCUGGACCAAUGGGUGCUGCGAUUGGGUACAGACUCCGCCCCCUCGCCGCCCCACCUCCCCUCCCGAAGCAAGC
Anguilla rostrata (American eel) is the source of this 1440-nucleotide long non-coding RNA. RefSeq lists it as uncharacterized. The record is from RefSeq and is a predicted model, not a curated record. NCBI's taxonomy places the organism in Eukaryota, Metazoa, Chordata, Actinopteri, Anguilliformes, Anguillidae. The transcript has 3 exons.